AACACAUGCAAGUCGAGCGGAAAGGCUCCUUCGGGAGUACUCGAGCGGCGAACGGGUGAGUAACACGUGGGUAAUCAACCCCUGACAUCGGGAUACCCCCGGGAAACCCGGAUCAAUACCGAAUAAGGUGCGGAGUCGCUGGACGCCGUACCAAAGGUAGCUUAGGCCUCCGGUCAGGGACGAGCCCGCGGCCCAUUAGCUUGUUGGUGAGGUAACGGCUCACCAAGGCGACGAUGGGUAGCUGGUCUGAGAGGACGUAUCAGCCACACUGGGACUGAGACACGGCCCAGACUCCUACGGGAGGCAGCAGUGGGGAAUAUUGCGCAAUGGGCGGAAGCCUGACGCAGCAACGCCGCGUGCGGGAAGAAGGCUCUCGGGUCGUAAACCGCUUUCAGCAGGGACGAAGCUUCCGGGGUUAAUAGCCUACGGGGUGACGGUACCUGCAGAAGAAGCCCCGG
This 458-nucleotide ribosomal RNA is filed under the name grassland soil clone sl1_020. Its description in RNAcentral is "bacterial SSU rRNA". It matches the Rfam family "Bacterial small subunit ribosomal RNA", at positions 50 to 496 of the family's 1533-position model. The record is from RNAcentral.